UGUAUCCUACGGGAGGCAGCAGUGGGUCCUAUUGCUCCCUUUGCGACCGCCUGACGCAGCGACGCCGCGUGAGGGAUGAAGGUCUUCGGAUCGUAAACCUCUGUCAGCAGGGAAGAACGGUCACUGUGCUAAUCAGCAGUGAAUUGACGGUACCUGCAAAGGAAGCACCGGCUAACUCCGUGCCAGCAGCCGCGGUAAUACGGAGGGUGCGAGCGUUAAUCGGAAUUACUGGGCGUAAAGCGCUCGUAGGCGGUAUGUCAAGUCAAGGGUGAAAUCCCCGCGCUCAACGUGGGAACUGCCUUUGA
This 305-nucleotide ribosomal RNA is filed under the name uncultured bacterium. Its description in RNAcentral is "bacterial SSU rRNA". It matches the Rfam family "Bacterial small subunit ribosomal RNA", at positions 333 to 630 of the family's 1533-position model. The record is from RNAcentral.